Molecule: long non-coding RNA, 387 nt
Organism: Drosophila miranda
Lineage: Eukaryota; Metazoa; Arthropoda; Insecta; Diptera; Drosophilidae
Exons: 3
Source: RefSeq, a predicted model, not a curated record
AACGCUAUGGGCCUCUCGUUCUGCUCGUCAUCCCGUUGGAAGAGUACGGCUCCUACCCCAUAAUGUGAGGCGUCGCACUGUAUGUAGAAGUGCCGCUUGAAAUCCGCGUGUACCAGGACUGGUGCCGAGGGCGUCUGCGAGCGGAGCGGCCAUCUCAGCAUAGUUCUUCAUAAAGCGCCGGUACCAGCCCGCAGUUCCCAGGAAACUACGCAAUUCUCGAACAGAUCGCGGCUCGGGAAUGCGUAAAAUGGCCGACACACGAUCCGGAUCCAUCUUCAGCGCUCCUCCUCCCACUAUAAAUCCCAGACGCUCGGCAACCUGUCGCAGAAUCUUCACGUGCGUUUCAAAGUCCUCAGCUAUAAUCAGCAACUCGUCGAGAUACGCAUA